Cynoglossus semilaevis (tongue sole) is the source of this 196-nucleotide long non-coding RNA. RefSeq lists it as uncharacterized. The transcript is spliced from 2 exons. The record is from RefSeq and is a predicted model, not a curated record. Lineage: Eukaryota; Metazoa; Chordata; Actinopteri; Pleuronectiformes; Cynoglossidae.
CAGGGCAAUAAAAAGCUAACAAUGGUCGGAAGCAAACAUUCGGGAGUCUGAGGCAGUUGAUUACAGUCAUCAGGUCAACACAGCCUCCUGUGGACGUUGUUAGUUUACACCUCAUUAUGUCCAGCCCUAACCUUUUAUUUGCUGCAGUUUGCCAGAGCUGCCUCCCUACUGGACAUUUGCCAUUUAGAAAAAAAAA